GUAAAAUGUAGAUUUUGGCUUGUAACUCUAAAACCAAAGCAUUUAGAGCAAAUCUGACAUGAAGUAAAAUUGUUUAUCAGGUCAAGAUCUAUCUGCCCUGAAAUUUUCAGAUGAAUCGGACAACCUGUUGUUGGGUUGCUGCCCCUGAAUUGGUAAUUUUAAGGAAAUUUUGCUGUUUUUUGUUAUUAUCUUGAAUAUUAUUAUAGAUAGAGAUAAACUGUAAAAAGCAAUAAAUGUCGGCAAAGUAAGAUCUACAAAUAAGUCAACAUGACCGAAAUGGUCAGUUGACCCCUUUAGGAGUUAUUGCCCUUUAUAGUCAAUUUUUAACCAUUUUUCGUAAAUCUUAGUUAUCUUUUACAAAAAUCUUCUCCUCUGAAACUACUGGGCCAAGUUCAAUAUAGAUAGAGAUAAUUGUAAGCAGCAAGAAUGUUCAGUAAAGUAAGAUGUACAAACACAUCACCAUCACCAAAAC
This 472-nucleotide long non-coding RNA is filed under the name Mytilus galloprovincialis (Mediterranean mussel). The record is from RNAcentral. Lineage: Eukaryota; Metazoa; Mollusca; Bivalvia; Mytilida; Mytilidae.